Molecule: long non-coding RNA, 2624 nt
Organism: Pygoscelis adeliae (Adelie penguin)
Lineage: Eukaryota; Metazoa; Chordata; Aves; Sphenisciformes; Spheniscidae
Exons: 3
Source: RefSeq, a predicted model, not a curated record
AAAAAAAAGCCCAGCCUUUUUUCCAAAUAUUCAUGGAGAAAAAGACAGCUUGAAAAUGAAAAGGAGGGUCUGCAAAGAAGCUAAGGAAAUAGCCAAGAGGCAUCUUCUGAAGCAUCAAAGUUUGAAAUAGCUGAGUGAUCAAGGCAUUGGUCAGUAUUGUCAGGGCUUGUAAAGCUCUUUCCUUUUACAUCCCUGCUUUGUGGAGCUGUGCUCUGUGUGGUAUGCCUGGACUUUCUUACUUACCAACUCGGACAAUUAUCAUUUGGUAUGCCUGUAAUUAUUCCAAGGACUGUUUGUUAGUGGGAAAAAAUAGCUUUUUUCAUUUUAAAAAUUCCACGUAACUAAUACAUAACACAUUUUCCAAAUGCAUUUUGUACAAAUUUUUCCUUUUUAGAAGCAAAGAAAAUAGUAAUGGGAAAAGAAAUCUUGCACAGCAAGAAACAUAUAGCUUUUAGUAAUGUCAUGAAUCACAUAUACACAAUUACUGUCUUUUGCUAGUCACCUCUGCUCUAAUCUGUGAUCACGUGUUAAAGAAAGUAAAAGGUCUUAUGUGAACUAUGUGCAUAGAAAUAAAGUUCUUACGAAGGAAAACACAUUCUCUCUGUAAAAGGACUUCCCUGUUACCUGAAGAAGUGAAAACACUGAGUUGCUUGGCAUGUUGGCAUUAUCUUGAGGAAAAGCAGCAUUCUUAAAGAGCAUCAUGGUGGACAUAGAUUUUUGAGGAAGGAUUUGGUGAGUGUAGUAAUGCUUUCUUUAUCAGCUGAGCCUGAGGUGAAGAAUUGUAUCUAAAAUGAGAUGUGGAAGAAGAUGGGGAGAGGCAUGGAGAAGACACACGAUCAGUGCAGUGGGAGGCCCGGGAGGAGGUACUGGGGCUGAUGGAAUCAGCAGAUACCGCGAUGUACUAUGAAAGCAUCAGAGUGGCAGGGCGAGAAGCUUGUGUUGCGCAGGGUGCAGAGGGAGCUGUAAGUGGAAUUAGAGAGAGGCUGACAUGGGAGAUGUCUUUGCGUUUCCGUUUUGAAUGACUCUGAGGAAGAGCAGAGGAGUGGAGGAGAACAGCUUGCGGUAAUUGAUAUGGGCUGCCUAUGUUUUUGCUGCAUUAAUGCAGUCCCUCUGAAUUCAUGUUCACCCAGGCCACAGAUCUAGAGACCGCUGCUCUUUGACCAACAAACUCGUACACCUCUUCCCCAUAUGACUAUGAGGAAUGGAAGAAAAUGGGAACUGGUUGUCUUUUUGCUUAGGGAAAAUAUGAUAGACAACUUCUUCAUUUUUUUUUUUAAACUAUGUUAGUCUGUUCAGCAGAAUUAGUUCUGUGGUUUUUUGCAAAAUAAGGUGACAUUUUAGAAACUCAACAUUACAUUUUGUAAGAAAGGUAGCUAUACAAAAGUACAGCUCUAUUGUAAAAUCAAGCUGCAAGCAAUGGAAAGUUAAAGGUUUCAGAGAACGCUUUAAAAUUCCUUUUAAAGUUUCUGCUGUAUACAUGUAGAUCUGUCCAUGAAGAAAUACCUUCUGUUAAAGUUCUAAGAAUAAAAAUGGUGUGAUUUUUAGUGGUUUUUUAGAAGUCCCAAUAAAAGUCAUGCUUAUGAAAACCUUUACACUGCAGUAAUCACAGAAGGGCAAACUGUCUACAAUUUCUUUUACUUCUAGCUAGUUUUGUAUAAAAAAGGAUGCCCACGGUAUUUACAAUCCCAAUGUCAAAGUUGUGAAAGUAUCUGAAAAAGAGAUACAGCCUUUGUUGAUUCUUGCGUGUCUGCUGAGAGUCACACAAAACAAACUUAACAAGCCCUGACUUCACUGCGUUUCUAGAAGCAGUUUUACUUUCAGUAGUCAAAUAUGCGACAAGUCAGUAAGGCAGUUCUAACACUCUGAAAAUACCAGUGGCACCCGGCAAAUGCAUUACUAUUUUUUGUGUUUGCCAGUUUUGUGGCUGGUCUGAUAGGACUUACUGAGUAUGUCCCAAUGAACAGUGAAGAUAUGCAUUGAGCAAACACAGUUUUCUUCUUCCAGGCUUUUUUCUCUAGGUUAGUUCUUCAGUAGCUGGUUAAUGUUUCAUGGGGUUGGAUGUUUGCUAACAUUUGGCUGACUGUCGAAUUUGCUAAUUGUUAACCACUGCUUGUUCCUCUGCAAUACUUGUGUACGAAGGGUUACUUCCAUUGUUUAGUAAAAAGCUUUCUUGAGCAAACUUUAAAGACAAAAGCAAAACCCCAAAUGGAGAGAGUUCAGAGAACAGCGACAAGGAAACUUCAGCCUUCUCUGUGCUACCUGCCAACCUAGGGAAGUUGGAGUCUGAUUUGUCACGAGGUGGCAGCACGGGAGAAGGAAAGACUUCAUUUUCCCCUCAUUCUGGCAAACGUCUGCAUCUUUCUUCUUUUCCGAAGUGGAGAAAAAGAUGGUCUUGUACAGGGCUCCCCAGGUGACUCUGUUCCUUUGAAAGUAACUGAAAAGUCAUCACAACUGCUGAAGAAAGUAUGAAACCUCAGGUGGGGGCAGGUGUUGCUUGUAGCUGAAAUUGCUGCCCUGAUUUGAAAUGGAGAAACCAGUUGUAGCUUAAACUUCACCUGAUCAUGGGAUAAAUAAUAAUCGGUGUCUUAGGAGCACAGCAAAUGGUCCCUCUACUGCCAACACCG